RNAcentral lists this ribosomal RNA (253 nucleotides) under uncultured bacterium. RNAcentral describes it as "partial 16S ribosomal RNA". It matches the Rfam family "Bacterial small subunit ribosomal RNA", at positions 524 to 776 of the family's 1533-position model. The record is from RNAcentral.
UACGGAGGGUGCAAGCAUUAAUCGGAGUUACUGGGCGUAAAGGGCGCGUAGGCGGUUUUAAGGGUGUGAUGUGAAAGCCCUGGGCUUAACCUGGGAAGUGCAUCGCAAACCGUAAGACUGGAGUACAAGAGAGGGUGGCGGAAUUUCCGGUGUAGCGGUGAAAUGCGUAGAGAUCGGAAGGAACGUCAAUGGCGAAGGCAGCCACCUGGCUUGAUACUGACGCUGAGGCGCGAAAGCGUGGGGAGCGAACAGG